Molecule: ribosomal RNA, 254 nt
Filed under: uncultured bacterium
Lineage: Bacteria
Description: partial 16S ribosomal RNA
Rfam family: Bacterial small subunit ribosomal RNA
Source: RNAcentral
CACGUAGGGGGCGAGCGUUGACCGGAUUUAUUGGGCGUAAAGAGCUCGUAGGCGGCUCAGUAAGUCAGGUGUGAAAACUCCAGGCUCAACCUGGAGACGCCACCUGAUACUGCUGUGGCUAGAGUCCGGUAGGGGAGCAUGGAAUUCCUGGUGUAGCGGUGAAAUGCGCAGAUAUCAGGAGGAACACCAGUGGCGAAGGCGGUGCUCUGGGCCGGAACUGACGCUGAGGAGCGAAAGCGUGGGGAGCAAACAGG